CCUACGGGAGGCAGCAGUGGGGAAUAUUGCACAAUGGGGGAAACCCUGAUGCAGCAACGCCGCGUGGGUGAAGAAGCGUUUCGGCGCGUAAAGCCCUUUCAGCGGGGAAGAAAAAGGACGGUACCCGACCAAGAAUCCCCGGCUAACUACGUGCCAGCAGCCGCGGUAAUACGUAGGGGGCGAGCGUUAUCCGGAAUUACUGGGGGUAAAGGGAGCGUAGACGGGGAGGGAAGCCUGAAGUGGAAGCCCGCGGCGCAACCGCGGAAUUGCUUUGGGAACUGUUUUGCUGGAGUAUGGGAGGGGUAAGCGGAAUUCAUGGUGUAGCGGUGAAAUGCGUAGAUAUCAGGAGGAACACCGGUGGCGAAGGCGGGUUACUGGACCACAACUGACGUUGAGGCUCGAAAGCGUGGGGAGCGAACAGGAUUAGAUACCCUGGUAGUC
This 441-nucleotide ribosomal RNA is filed under the name uncultured bacterium. RNAcentral's name for it is "partial 16S ribosomal RNA". It matches the Rfam family "Bacterial small subunit ribosomal RNA", at positions 338 to 795 of the family's 1533-position model. The record is from RNAcentral.